UAGAAGAACAGGACUCGAACCCGCACCAAAAGACUCAAAAUCUUUUGCACUUCCUUAUGCAACCUCCUA
This 69-nucleotide transfer RNA is filed under the name Enyalioides anisolepis (rough-scaled woodlizard). RNAcentral describes it as "tRNA-Gln". Lineage: Eukaryota; Metazoa; Chordata; Lepidosauria; Squamata; Hoplocercidae. The record is from RNAcentral.